CAGCUCACCGGGGGAACACAGCUGCAGGCGGGCUGCAGCCUCAGCCCUGAGCUCUGGGGUUGGGGACGAGUUGGGGAGCAGCACAGAACUGGAAGGACGGCCAUUGGGUAUGAGGUGCUUCACGAGGUGUGGGACACAUUGCCAGCCAGACGGGAGGCUCUCAGCUUCCAAACCUGUAUGACCUGCCCACCGUCCAGCUCCGUCUAUGGACUGCUCAUUGCUCCUGGACACAAGGCAGCGUUAUCGCAGGGUUACUCACCCAGCUAUUUGUUUCUGCCUGGAGUCCCACGACAACCUUUGCUCGCUGGAGGUGCCACAACGAUCCCAACAACAAAUGGGACAGAGGGGAACCAGGACAUGUCGAUAAACUGGCUUUUAAAUUAACAGAUGUGGCAAAGCCACUGAUGGUAACUUUGUGGUUACGGAUAUUAGGAACUCUUGGCUCUCAAAGUUUCUGGAAGAAGACAAGAAGUUAACAGUUCAGCUCAAUAUAUAAACAGAGAUAUAUGGAAUCCAAGACAGAAAUGAGGUGCUUACUCACUUUUAAAUCUUUAGUCCAGGAAAUAGGGGAAUGACAGCAUCUACUUAUUGACCUGAAGUGAAAGCCCAGAAGAAGAGACCAGACAGAGCUUGCUUCAGCUAAAAUUAAUGUUAAAUGCUCACCGUUUGUUGUGGGCAUUUUGUCAUACAGACGUCGGGCAAACUUCACAAACCUCACUUCAUCCUGCCAUGCCUUAAGGACCUUGUUUUGCCACUGGAUGCCAAGAGGCAUUGUUGGGGGUGCUCAGCAGCCUCUGCUGCUGCAGCUGCAGCGAGCGGCUCACUGCUCUGCUUGAGAUGCCUUCUGCAGAGGUGCCAGGCCACAGCCACCUGCACUGGUAAAGCUGAGUGCAAACCAGUGCACUGGAGAGAGGACGAGCUGUGGGAGAGGAGCAGCAGGAUGCUCAUGAGCAGCUCUGACACACCGGUGUUUUGCAACAAGAAAUGAACGCUGCGUGUAUAGGCCACUUACAGUAAUGGGAAUGGGAGUUCUGAGAGGAUAUCUUGAGUUCAAUCAAUUAGUUUCCCUCCCAAGGCACAAAUAGAUGCAAAUUUUACUCAUUUACAUUUCUCCUGCUGACAUAUUUCCUGGUGUUAAUCCAAGUUCUUUCGCUUAUGUGCCCAUGUUUCUUCUUUUAAUGCCGCAGUCCUGUAGUUACUGUCUCUCUUCCUCUCUUCCCCCGUAUUUUCUGCACUCCCAGAUGGCCUGGUUUGCUUUUUCACCUCUCCACUUUUCCCACCCCCUGUUGCAGACAGUAAAAACAACAGAAUAAAAAAUUAAAGGGGUGCACAGCCCAGCACUCGGGGAAGGCAAAUCUCUGUCCCUUGAGGCUGACAGAAGCUGAACACACUGGCUGGGUGGGAUAGAUACACAGUGUGUGCCCAUGGCCUUUCGAAACAUAUUCUUUAAGUGCAUUUUGGGCAACAAACGUAAGCUGUGCUUUUUAAGCCUGAAUCUGUCCGCAGGAUAACGUUAUGUGGAUGAACAGGGCACAUGAAUGGCAGGAGAUGGUUUGACCUUAGAGGUGGUUUCCUCUGCCAGCUCUGAGACUGUGUGAUCUCAGAAAACUGUCACUGUGUCACCCGCUCUCUCAAGAUGAAAUAAAUGGCCUUACCCUUGCUGUCACUGAAGUCACGUGCAACUUCUGAUUUCCUGAAAGGAGCAAACCACAAGUUUUAUGAGUUAUUCUAAGGAUUCUGAAAUGCAAUAGGAAGAGAGGAAGCCUGUCUUCCACUUCGGCUCUACUUCCAACUCAGAUUCCUCCUUUAGAUCACGCUAAGGAGAGGAUGCACAGUGCAGCAAAGAUAAGUCGGUGUGCUGCACAGGACUGCCACCUGAGCCGGAAACGGUACAAAAGUGGUGAAACUGAAACCGUGACUGUAAACAUGUCCUGCUCCAAACUGCACAAGAGGAAAGCAGAGAAUGUCUGUCUGCCUGCAGAGCCAAGGGAACAAGCUUGUAGGCUGACUGCUUCUUCCCAGCUUCUCCCUUUACCUUUUGGUUCUGCUUAGGCAUCUCUUGUCUCCAUGAGUCCCCUCUCCUCGUGCAGCAGCACACAGAUCCCCAUCACAGAGCACGCAGUUGCCGAGUGUGACCUUACUCCUGUUCGUGUACCUCUCCAAAACGCACAGGAAGAAGAAAACUGCUAUUAAUAAUCCUCUAGUCUGACCUUUACAUUUUCUUGGUAUAUUACAUCUCAGGGGUGUGCUCAUCACAAGGAUGAACUCGCCGUCACAGAGGAAAAGACAUUACAGCGGUGGAGACAGAAAGAACAGACCCACUGACCUCCCUGAGCACAGCAUGAAGGACUGGAGAGGAAAGGACCUGACCACGAGGUCCUGGGCCUGGCCUAGGUGAGACAGAAAUAUACUCAUUGCAGUACCUGGCAUCCUUCUUAAUGGACACAGGCGCACAGUGUCUUCUGACGGAGUAGGUGCCAAUCUCUCUAGGGCUGUGAAGCAUUUGUUCGUGACCCUGCCUGAG
This is a long non-coding RNA of Gallus gallus (chicken), 2524 nucleotides long. The record is from Ensembl. NCBI's taxonomy places the organism in Eukaryota, Metazoa, Chordata, Aves, Galliformes, Phasianidae.